RNAcentral lists this ribosomal RNA (492 nucleotides) under uncultured bacterium. Its description in RNAcentral is "partial 16S ribosomal RNA". It matches the Rfam family "Bacterial small subunit ribosomal RNA", at positions 29 to 507 of the family's 1533-position model. The record is from RNAcentral.
AGUGAACGCUGGCGGUAGGCCUAACACAUGCAAGUCGAACGGCAGCACAGUAAGAGCUUGCUCUUACGGGUGGCGAGUGGCGGACGGGUGAGGAAUACAUCGGAAUCUACUUUUUCGUGGGGGAUAACGUAGGGAGACUUACGCUAAUACCGCAUACGACCUACGGGUGAAAGUAGGGGAUCUUCGGACCUUGCGCGAUUGAAUGAGCCGAUGUCGGAUUAGCUAGUUGGCGGGGUAAAGGCCCACCAAGGCGACGAUCCGUAGCUGGUCUGAGAGGAUGAUCAGCCACACUGGAACUGAGACACGGUCCAGACUCCUACGGGAGGCAGCAGUGGGGAAUAUUGGACAAUGGGCGCAAGCCUGAUCCAGCCAUACCGCGUGGGUGAAGAAGGCCUUCGGGUUGUAAAGCCCUUUUGUUGGGAAAGAAAAGCAGCAGGUUAAUACCCCGCUGUUCUGACGGUACCCAAAGAAUAAGCACCGGCUAACUUCGUG